This is a long non-coding RNA of Cyprinus carpio (common carp), 320 nucleotides long. RefSeq lists it as uncharacterized. The record is from RefSeq and is a predicted model, not a curated record. The transcript has 3 exons. Lineage: Eukaryota; Metazoa; Chordata; Actinopteri; Cypriniformes; Cyprinidae.
AAAAUUUAAAAAUAUAUAUUCUCUACAGAUUGACGAACUCACACUCACAGAUCAGUGGGACCAUCUCAGUAAAGACCCGUUUCCCAUCUACACACAGUGAUUGACAAGCAAUGCAAAAAGGAGAAGGAGAAGGGAGGAGACAAAGAAGAUCCCUGGUUUGAGAUCAGUCCACUUGAAGCUGGUUAUUCUCUCACUGGAGCGUUUGUGGAAACAUCCAGCUUCGGCAGCAAGUUUUGAAAAUGGCCUCCAAAAAAAAAACCUCAGGAUGAAAUGGACAUGCUGUACCUGCAAGCUCUGUGUGGCAGCGCUUUAGCUGAUCG